GGGAAUUUGGGGGAGCGAGAGAGAGACCAACACCCUGGUGACGAACGUGUGUACGGUGGGGCCCAGCACCGCUGUCCCUACAUGAUGUUUGUUCCGGUUCGCUCAGACAAAGAACACAUGGCGACACCUGAAGACGCGCUAUCAAGAUCCAACGGUCAUCGCAGGUGUGUGCUCGGAACGUUUAGAAUUUAGGAUGUAAUAUAUAUGCCAAUAAAAAAAGUUGCCAGGUUGUUAAAAAAAAGAACGUAAUAUGCCUAGGAAGACUAGCUCACAAUAAUCGGAUCUCACACCCUUAAACCUGCCCUGUCCCUUUGUAAAACAAAAAAAUUCCAUGCCCAUUGCCCCACGGGAGAGCCUACUCCUCUCGGAACUCAUCUAAAGAUUGCAAAGAAACUUUAAACACGCAGACUCCCCAACCAGGUCUCCCCAAUCUUCCUUCUCACCAAAGCUCCUAGAGUCCUGCCCAAUCGAUUGAUCCAUCAACUCAUCGCUCUGACCAAAAUAUUUUGGCAUGCAUAUCUAAGAUUGAUCCAUCAAUAUCACUUCCUGGCCGAUGAAUUUGGAAGUUUCUCCAGUGAAGGAAGAUGCGGCAGGGUACAGUAACGAUCGAGCUUGGAGAUUGUUGUGCACAAGAGCAACGUCAAGCUCCAGGUUCAUUCACGGAACAUCCUCCAAUCUUCCUUCUCAACAAACUCCUACAGUCCUGCCCAAUCGAUCGGUCAUCUGAGGCUCUCCCCAAUCUUCCUCCUUGCCAUAUGCGCAUGUUCUUCCUGUUACAUAUUCGUUUCUCGAUAUUCAUGCCCAAUCUUUGUUUCUUUGCUUUUCUGCUUCAUGUAUAUUGUGUAUUUCAUACGCUAUCAACUCAUCGCUCUGACCAAAAUAUUAUUGCACGCAUAUCUAAGAUUGAUCCAUCAACAUCACUUCCUGGCCGAUGAAUUCUGAAGUUUCAGCAGCGAAGGAAGAUGCGGCAGGGUACAGUAACGAUCGAGCUUGGAGAUUGCUGUGCACAAGAGCAAUGUCAAGCUCCAGGUUCAUUCGCGGAAGUUAUUCAGUCCAAAUAUACCACAAUCUGGAACUUAACGUGGAUGCAGAAAAGCUGUAUGACGAGAACCCAACAAAUAGCCAGUUUUUUUUUCGCGAG
RNAcentral lists this long non-coding RNA (1141 nucleotides) under Triticum aestivum (bread wheat). Its description in RNAcentral is "long non-coding RNA (TAES_LNC007611)". Lineage: Eukaryota; Viridiplantae; Streptophyta; Magnoliopsida; Poales; Poaceae. The record is from RNAcentral.